CUCUCUCUCUCUCUCUCUCUCUCCGGUGGUGGAAUCCGCCCUAUUCGAAACCCUAGCCUCCUAUCCCUAAAGCCUCGAUCUCUCCAAUCCAUCACUCGAAACCCUAGAUCCCACAAUCCCCCUCUGUCUCUCCCUCCCCCCAAAAUGCUACAUCCUAACCCCCCGCCGGAGCAACCCGAUGGCCAGACCGCCGCCGAGAGGCUGCUGGUCUUCGAGAACGGCCAGGCCGCCGUGACCCACAGCGGCAACGACAGGGAGGUGUCGGGCGGGGAGGAGGAGACCAGCAGCCGGCGCCGGCGCCGCAGCCGCUGGGACCCCCCGGCGGAGUCCGGCGAUAGCGCCGGCGAUGGCUCUACCGGUGGCCGGAAGCGGAAGUCCCGGUGGGCCGAGGAGGAGCCGAAUCCGCUUGUCCAGCUCUCGGACUUCAUGAAGGACCUCGCCGCCGAUCUCGACCCUGAGGUUCAGGCCCUCAACCUUAGGCUCCUCGAGAUCAGCCGCCUUCUCCAGUCCGGCAUGCCCCUCGAUGACCGUCCGGAGGGCGCCCGAUCUCCCUCCCCCGAGCCGAUUUACGACAACAUGGGUAUCAGGAUCAACACCAGGGAGUAUCGGGCACGCGAGCGGCUCAACAAGGAGCGGCAGGAGAUCAUCUCCCAGCUUAUCCGGCGGAACCCGGCGUUCAAGCCCCCGGCCGAUUACCGCCCUCCCAAGCUCCAGAAGAAGCUCUACAUCCCCAUGAAAGAGUACCCGGGAUACAAUUUUAUUGGCCUCAUCAUUGGGCCUAGGGGCAACACCCAGAAGAGGAUGGAGAAGGAGACCGGCGCCAAGAUCGUGAUCCGGGGCAAAGGAUCGGUCAAAGAAGGGAGAUUGCAGCAGAAGAGGGACUUGAAGCCGGACCUCUCGGAAAACGAGGACUUGCACGUGUUGGUCGAGGCUGAGACUCAGGAAUCUUUGGAUGCCGCUGCUGCCAUGGUGGAGAAGCUCUUGACUCCUGUCGACGAAGUACUGAACGAACACAAGAGGCAGCAGCUGAGAGAGCUUGCCGCGCUUAAUGGAACCAUCAGGGAUGACGAGUUCUGUAGGCUGUGCGGCGAGCCCGGGCACCGGCAGUAUGCCUGCCCUUCCCGAACGACCACCUUUAAGAGCGAUGUCCAGUGUAAGAUUUGUGGCGAUGGAGGGCACCCCACGAUCGAUUGCCCCAUGAAAGGAUCCGGGAAGAAGAUGGAUGAUGAGUACCAGAACUUCUUGGCCGAGCUUGGUGGGACUGCUCCGGAUUCUCUAACCAAGCAGAGCUCAGCAUUGGCUAUCGGUUCGGGCUCUUCAGGGAGCAAUCCACCUUGGGCUAGUGGUAGUGGGGCUGGGGGCACGGCGGGUACUGGAGUGGCCAAUGGGAUCAAGAAGGAAUAUGACGAGACAAACUUAUAUAUAGGAUAUCUGCCGCCCACCCUCGAUGAUGAUGGACUGAUUAGAUUGUUCUCCUCAUUUGGGAGUAUUGUGAUGGCUAAGGUUAUCAAGGAUAGGACCACUGGGCUGAGCAAAGGUUAUGGCUUUGUGAAGUAUGAAGAUGUUUCUAUGGCUAAUGCCGCAAUCGCUGCUAUGAAUGGGUAUCAUCUAGAAGGCAGAGUUAUAGCUGUAAGAGUUGCAGGCAAGCCUCCUCAGCCUGCUGUGCCUCCUGUUCCUCCAGCUCCUGUUACACCUACAUAUCCUUCUCAACAGUUUAUGGCUGGUGCACCUGUUGCAAACCCUCCACCACCACCUGGUAGUUAUGUACCAGUUCCAUGGGGUCUUCGAGUCCCCCCUCCAUAUGCUCCAUAUUCUAUGCAGCCACCAGGUUCGAGCAUGUACACCCCUGUUCAAGGCCAGUCUGUGCCACCUUAUGGCAUGCAAUACCCUCCAUCGGCACAAACUGCUCCUCCAGGCACUGCACCUCCAACUGCUCCUCCCGGCACUCCACCUCAAACUGCUUCUCUGGGCACUGCACCUCAAUCUGCAUCUUCAAGUGAUUCAAUGCAGAAUUACCCUCCUGGGGUGCAAUCACAAAGCACUACCACACCAGUUCAGGCUGUACCGAACAAUGUUUACGGCAGUACUGUUGCUCCCAACGUUCUUCCGAUGUAUCCACCUCCUCCACCUUAUGGAUAUGCACCUUAUUACUCUGCAGUUACACCAGUGCCACCUCUGGCUGUUGAUCCCACUCAGACCAUUGCAAAUGCACCAUGGGCCUCCAAUCCAUCGGUACCGCAGCCUGCUUCAACUGCAGAACAAUCGGCAACUUAUGGUGCUGACACGGAGUAUGAGAAACUCAUGUCAGAGAUAAAGUGAUGUUUUUGCUUCCGCAUAGAAAGAAACUGCUGGGCUGAAAGACCUGAUCAUUUUCACAGUGACAAAUUUAUGUACUUGAUACGUCUGUUGCUUGAUGGUUACAAUUGUUCUGUGGUUUUAGAUUUCUUUCUCGUGCAGAGGGGUUUUCUGCAAACUGUGCACCAGGAUACUUUCCUGUACGCUUUCAUCUGGAACUUCUUUAGGGGCUAUUUGCUGGUUACUUCAUGAUGCUUCUUAUUUGAGACCUGUUAUAUGACUUAUUGUUCUUUGGCUGAUUAUCUAGUUCUCUAACUGCUUAAUAUUUCAUUGUUAUUGGGUGAUCUUCUUCAUUUGCUGUUCUACACAUUUCAAAUGCGUGGAUCUGGCUGAUAUUUCUGGCUGUCACACUUCAGAGCAAGCCUUCUGGUUAUGCUGUUAGCAGAGUGGGUAAAAGUUCAAUUUGCUCCACAACUCACAUAUUGAUGCUUUUCAUUUUUGCUUUGAGUUGUUUUCCAGUUGAUAGUGAAAGCUAGGAGGACAUGUUGCCAAGAUUGAUAAUCACUAGUUCAUCAGGUAUUGCCAGGAAUUCAGAUGGAAUGGGGCAUAUUUGAAAAUUUUUCACAUAUAUGCUUUUUGUCCCUUUGUUCAUUUUGAUAUUCUAACGUAGUUCUGCAGCACAGGUGAUGUCUGCCAAGCUAUAUGGUUACAUUGUGUUUUAAAUGUAUGAUGUCUUUCUUUGCUUACUGCAUUACUGGUGCCACUUCCUCAGCAUGCGAGUUCUUCUAUCCUUUGACAAGAUUUUAUUCUCACAACCUAUGGUUUUACUGGCUUCUUUUCUGAAAAUUAAUGAUUUAUCAUGUUAUGCAUUCUAACUUGUUAGUGACAUGAUUGUUGCAAGUGCAAUACGGCUUGAUGCAAAAUGGAGAAUGUAGAUAACUGAACUGCUCUAGCUUGGUCAUUAUACAUAGUGGGGCUACUGGUAAGGUGCAGAUAUUACCAUCUGCAGGAGGUCAAAGAAAUUCACCACAGUUCAGCGGGGGAGGGCAAAUUCCUUAGGAGCAGCAAUCUCAAACUUUAAUCUUUUAUCAUGUAUGCUCUUCUCAAUGUAGAACAUAUAAAUUUGGAAAUGUUAAUUCUCAAAAUCUGUAGGGAAGUAUGGAAACAUCCCUAUAAUAAGAAAAACUAGGAAUGCUUGAAUCAUAUGAAUUGUUGAGAUUCAGUUUGAUAGUAUACUUCAAGCAUUGAACUAA
Non-coding RNA from Elaeis guineensis (African oil palm), 3548 nucleotides. NCBI's taxonomy places the organism in Eukaryota, Viridiplantae, Streptophyta, Magnoliopsida, Arecales, Arecaceae. The record is from RefSeq and is a predicted model, not a curated record.